This 500-nucleotide ribosomal RNA is filed under the name Cutaneotrichosporon jirovecii. RNAcentral describes it as "eukaryotic LSU rRNA". The stretch from base 118 to 271 matches the Rfam family "5.8S ribosomal RNA". Lineage: Eukaryota; Fungi; Basidiomycota; Tremellomycetes; Trichosporonales; Trichosporonaceae. The record is from RNAcentral.
GGCUCGUAGCUGCAGGACUAUCAUAAGCGGAGGAGCAUAUCAAUAAGCGGAGGAGCAUAUCAAUAAGCGGAGGAGCAUAUCAAUAGGGGGAGGAGCGUCUUGUUAUUAGGAGGAAAUAACUUUCAACAACGGAUCUCUUGGCUCUCGCAUCGAUGAAGAACGCAGCGAAAUGCGAUAAGUAAUGUGAAUUGCAGAAUUCAGUGAAUCAUCGAAUCUUUGAACGCAACUUGCGCUCUCUGGUAUUCCGGAGAGCAUGCCUGUUUGAGUAUCAUGAAAUCUCAACCAUUAGGGUUUCUUAAUGGCUUGGAUUUGGGCGCUGCCACUUGCCUGGCUCGCCUUAAAAGAGUUAGCGUGUUUAACUUGUCGAUCUGGCGUAAUAAGUUUCGCUGGUGUAGACUUGAGAAGUGCGCUUCUAAUCGUCUUCGGACAAUUCUUGAACUCUGGUCUCAAAUCAGGUAGGACUACCCGCUGAACUUAAGCAUAUCAAUAAGCGGAGGAAA